GGCCGGAUGGUUUAGUUGGUCAUAACGUCUGCUUAACAAUGGAUUAUAUAAUCCAGAUCGCAGAAGGUCGGGAGUUCGAACCUCCCUCUGGUCA
This 94-nucleotide transfer RNA is filed under the name Trichoglossum hirsutum. It matches the Rfam family "tRNA". Rfam says of the family: Transfer RNA (tRNA) molecules are approximately 80 nucleotides in length. Their secondary structure includes four short double-helical elements and three loops (D, anti-codon, and T loops). Further hydrogen bonds mediate the characteristic L-shaped molecular structure. tRNAs have two regions of fundamental functional importance: the anti-codon, which is responsible for specific mRNA codon recognition, and the 3' end, to which the tRNAs corresponding amino acid is attached (by aminoacyl-tRNA synthetases). tRNAs cope with the degeneracy of the genetic code in two manners: having more than one tRNA (with a specific anti-codon) for a particular amino acid; and 'wobble' base-pairing, i.e. permitting non-standard base-pairing at the 3rd anti-codon position. Lineage: Eukaryota; Fungi; Ascomycota; Geoglossomycetes; Geoglossales; Geoglossaceae. The record is from Rfam by way of RNAcentral.